GACGUAGGGCGCGAGCGUUGUCCGGAUUUAUUGGGCGUAAAGAGCUCGUAGGCGGCUUGUCGCGUCGUCCGUGAAAACUUGGGGCUCAACCCCAAGCUUGCGGUCGAUACGGGCAGGCUAGAGUUCGGUAGGGGAGACUGGAAUUCCUGGUGUAGCGGUGAAAUGCGCAGAUAUCAGGAGGAACACCGGUGGCGAAGGCGGAUCUCUGGGCCUUACCUGACGCUCAGGUGCGAAAGCUAGGGGAGCGAACAGG
This 253-nucleotide ribosomal RNA is filed under the name uncultured bacterium. RNAcentral's name for it is "partial 16S ribosomal RNA". It matches the Rfam family "Bacterial small subunit ribosomal RNA", at positions 524 to 776 of the family's 1533-position model. The record is from RNAcentral.